AAAUAACCAAGAUGCUGUAAAUUCAAUGUUGAGUAAAUUCCGCGAUUUGAAACUUUAUGAGAAUUUGGAUUUUGUGGCAGAAGAUCAAAAAGAUGAAGUGAUUGUAAAUCUCUUGCAGCAGAUUAAAGAGCUUGAGAGGCAAGUAAAGGAGCGGAAAGAAUGGGCACAUCAAAAGGCAAUGCAAGCUGCAAGGAAACUGAGUAAUGAUCUCACAGAGCUUAAAAUGUUGAGGAUGGAAAGGGAAGAGACCCAACGCCUGAAAAAAGGCAAACAGACUUUAGAGGACACAACAAUGAAACGACUAUCUGAG
RNAcentral lists this unclassified non-coding RNA (310 nucleotides) under Hevea brasiliensis (rubber tree). The record is from RNAcentral. Lineage: Eukaryota; Viridiplantae; Streptophyta; Magnoliopsida; Malpighiales; Euphorbiaceae.